UCUGAGAAGGUCACACAGAAGAG
Molecule: non-coding RNA, 23 nt
Filed under: Cricetulus griseus (Chinese hamster)
Lineage: Eukaryota; Metazoa; Chordata; Mammalia; Rodentia; Cricetidae
Source: RNAcentral